Bombyx mori (domestic silkworm) is the source of this 6303-nucleotide RNA transcript. RefSeq lists it as uncharacterized. The transcript is spliced from 2 exons. The record is from RefSeq and is a predicted model, not a curated record. NCBI's taxonomy places the organism in Eukaryota, Metazoa, Arthropoda, Insecta, Lepidoptera, Bombycidae.
UAAUUUUAGUAUUCUCUUUGUUAUCCUAUUCUAUGUGGUAAGUCUAUCAGAUCAUUGGUCAUAAAUAAAUAAAUAGGUAAGGUCUUUACAAAAACCAGCAUAAAUCCUAAGCAAGAAUCCUAAAUCAAAGUCAACUGUCAAUAAAAUUUUUAUAAUGUAUACCUACCGCACUGAAGUAUGAAAUCUAAAAAUCUAUUAGUUUAUAAGUCUAUGUACCGUACCAUAGAUUAUACACCGUAAGAGAAUACAAAACUAAACAUCAUUGCUUGACUUUCUGUGGUUUAGGAGUAUGAGAAUAGAAGUAAUAGUGUUCUGUGUAUGAGAAUACUCAAUACAGACAGAAAGUUGUUUUAAAAAAUUGUCCGUCGAGUUUCUGUGUUCAAUUUCAUUGUUUUGUUUCAGUUAUUAGUGAGUGUACGUCUGCGCAGAAAUACCAAAAGCUGCAUAGCUUUUUAGACUGGACUGCGUUGCAAAUAAGGAUGGCCACUGCUCGUGGCUUCUUCUUCGACGACGAGACGGGCGAGUUGGUCACUUACGGUGUGAACGAAGAAACUGGCGAGCCGAUGGUUAAUAAUCCAACGGUGUCCUUUUUUGGAACACCUCGGCCCAUUCCACCGAUGGAGACUCCGAAUUUUCCAGAAGGUCCAAUGAGUCAGACAAAGAAGUUUCAAGCACUCAAGGAAAACAUAAUCGCAGGCUCCAAUCCCAUUAGCCACCGCAUGCUGCUCUUUCCAUCCGUGAUGAUUUUUCCGGAGCUCUUCUGUGUUCUGCUCCUCAUUCUAGAGGUGUAUCUACAUGUGAAGUGCCACAAGAAGAACAAAAAAUUAAAAGAUCAAAACUUGUACUACCGAAGUCCGUUUCAUGUCGUAACAAGUACUUUCUGUGGAGCAUGCCGUGAAAGUGAGCUGGCUUCUAGGAUAGGGCAGAUGCAAGACAAGCGACGCAAUCGUUACGACUACUUCAGAGGGAUUGCCAUAUAAUGUGGUAAUUAUUAUUAUAUCUAUUAAAACUAGCAGUUCAACUCACAGCUAAUGAGUUAUGUUUCUGUGUGUUUUUCCACUUUUUCUCCUAGAUCUAAGUAUAUUUCAAUAUAAAAGGCAUAAAAUUGUCGGUAUCUCUUCUAGAGAAUAUUUUGGGUAACGGUCCUAUUAUUAAGUAUCUAUGUAGGAUGUAUUUAGAAUUUUGAUGUAUACAGUAUGCAUUUAAAAACUUUGAUAUGUAAGAUGUGUUGGAAACAAUUAUUAAUGAUGAAUACAUGCUCGCUACAAGUAGCUACAUAUUUUGUUAUAAAAUUAAGAAUUUAGGCUCAUUCAGCUUGACUGAGGCAUCUGAUACCAUGAAACUAAAAAACUAUUGAAAUAUGUCAGGAGUUUACCAAUCGUCAUAUUGCCAGUAUAUUUUGCCAUUACUGAGGUUCAUUAUUGUUCAUGGUCAAAGUACAUCUAUGACCAGUCUUAUAGAGCUUUGUUAGAAGUUUUCAUGAAAUGCAAAAAAUCAAUAAAACAAAAGAAAGGGAACACUGUUAUAAAUUAUCCCAACAGGAGGGUGGUUGAGUGCUUUGCUCACUCGGUACCAAGCAGUUACCAGAACCUAUAUAUAUAUUGCAAAGUGAAUGCUGUUGUGAGAAAGGAAGCCGAAAUCUAAAUUGUAUUGUAGAAAAUCUGUUACACUCUUAAAGCUUGAACGCAUGACUGAUUUACGGCAGAAAAAGGCACAGAAUAGUAGUGCCAAACAGGCACAAUACCAACAAUAUAACCAUAUGAGACGUUACCUUUAUAAUAGUGGCCUAGAUUAAGAUGAGUAAUAAUUAUUUAAUAAGAUUGGUGUCUAUGAACACAAAGGUACUAAAUUGUGGUAAAUGUUAGUUUUAAAUGACUCUAACUGUAUUGGCGUAAGUAAUCACAUUCAUAAACAUUAUGUAAUUGUAUCUUCAUUAUAUGGUAAUGUUACAAAAUCAUCAAUUGAAAAUAUCUGUUUAAUUUUCCAAAUUAUUACACCAUUGCUGUUAAAAUAGUUCAUAGAUUCAAACUCAAAUUAAUCAACGGGAUAUUCUUUCAUUGAUAUUGAAUUUAAGCCUAUAAACUACAUGAAUAUAAUCUUCAACUAUGUAACCCUUAAUCUUAGCGUAAGCAUCUUGUAAUUAAUGAUACCACAUCUUUAAACAAGUGGUCAUAUUUAUAUAAGAAUUUCAAUCAUCUCUUUAAGUGUAGAUGAUGGCUUAACUGAGACGGCUCUGGUGAUGAUGAAAAGUCAAUCAUUUAUUCCAUACUAUUAUUAUACAGCAUAUUACUGUUAUAUUUAACAGAUGUAUUCAAAAUCUUUAAUUGGUCAAGUUAUACUGAAAUGGAGGAAUUCACUUGAGUAUUAUUGAAGUGACUGGAUACUAGCCGAUAGUGGCAAAAAUGUGAUCCUAUUAAUUAAAUACUCUUAGUAUUUUUUUUAGUAUUUUAUUAAUCAGGCAACUCAUCUCGUAAUGGCAAUAUAGCGUGCCUUUGAGCACCACACUUUUCCCACAUCCUGCAUAAGCCACCUCAGCUAAGCAAAUACAUAUAUAUAUAUUCCAGUAGAUAAACUUUUAAUAGUACUUAAAAAUGUAAAAUUUUGUAGUCUUCGCGUCAUUGAUAACGAGAGUAGACGCUCUGAUCAAAUUACAACUUUUUAAUAUAAAUAAUCAUUAUUUAAAAUUUAUCUAAAAUUUGAGAAUAUUUGUAAUUUAUGUUCCUCACCAACGUAAUAACCGGCUUGAGACAUCCAUCUCAUGUAUAUAAUAGUCGGUUGUUCAGGUGAUUUUUAAUGUUAUGAUGAAGAAAGAUACAGUACUACCUCAAUCAAGUAGUUUUAUAUAGUCCAGCUUUGUACUGGCAUCGGUACUUUGGUGAUGUAACAAUCGAGAAUCUAAUUGAGCGAUUUCUAAUUUCUGAAUUUUACGGUCAAUAAAUUUUAAAAAGUACUUUAAAUUCAACAACGCUUUUCCUCUUUCUGUCCGAAUUAAAAUAUCUCAAAAUGUUAAACGUAUUCACCCCACAUUGAACUCUCAAAUUCAAAUUAUUUCUGUUAUACGUAUAAAUAAAACAGUGGUUCUGAAUAUAUAUAAUAAACAAGUUUAUCUUAACACGUGUAUAUUAUUAACGAUUCUCGAUUGAUAUGUCGUCAUAGGUUAAGUAAAUGUUGUCGAAUUAUUUUCAAACUUGUGUUCCGUACGUGAAUUGAUUUUAAUUAAAGAGGACGUGGAGGAUUUUUCCUUUUGUGUUGGUAGUCUGAGGCUCAUCUCCGGGUGGCCGAAGAAUUAGAGUUCUUUGAUGUUAAUCUUAAGAAGAAAGUCGGUCUACUUUAGUCCAAAUACUUUAUUAUUAAUUAUUACUUUAAUUUUAAUCCUAAUAAUAAACAUGAAGUCUGAAGUAUUUAGUUGACUCUGGUACAUUUGUUUAAUUAUUUAAAUAUAUUUUUUAGUAUUAUCUCUAAUAGAAUAAAACUAUAUUACGCACACCUAAAUUUGCUCAAUUCCAAAUAUAAUAGUAUAAGUGUUAGUUACAAUUUGUUAUAAUAUAUCUUCAUUUCGUUUCUUUUACGCUCUCUCUGUGCUGAUCUUUUAUUUAAGUAUUCCGAAAAUAAUUAGAAAUUUGGUUAAUUACAUUUUUCUGAAGACGAAAUCUUCGAUCGUCCUUUAGCAUGACUCUGCUCACUACACAACCACGUCAAAGUCAAUAUAUUGGUUUUUUUUUUUGUUAUGUCAUAUCAUCGGCCUUCAAACACACACGGAACAAUUCGUAAAUUUCCUUGUCUUUGGACUAAACGUAGACUACGAAUAGAGGUAAUAAAAUUAUAUAAAAAAAAUUAUAUUAGGUAAGUUCGAUUUAUAUUCCGGUUAUUCGUAAAAUAAGUAUACAUAAAAUAGCAAAUGUACGAUAAAAAGUACACGGACAAAACUCGCGCAUGUGAUAACAGAAGUAGUAUGUACUGGUCAAGAAUGAACAAAUGUUCUGAGACUAGGGUAGGUAUGUGUUGUGUUCUCUACACUCAAAUUCCGUUUUAACUGAAUUACUGUCUUGUUUCGAUUGCAUCUUAAUUCCGAGGUGACAAUCACCCGCUCUUACCCUCGGUCGGACUUAAUUGGAAUGAACUGAACGCAUUCCGUUUAUUCCUUUCAAUGUAUUCCAAUUAAGCUCCCUGAAUCGAUCAAUAAUAUUUAUUAUUAAUCUGUAUGCUUAUUGCGAGUUUCUUAACGUUCUCCAUAGCGUAAAAGUUAAGCCAAUUAUGUAUACAGUUGCAACAGUAUCCCUAGCGGCAAACGUACGCAAACGAUCCCACUCCAUACAAACACGAGCUAACUUUUACGCUAUCGAGAACGUUAAUAAACUCGCACUAAGCACACUGGUGUGUUCGAAAUGAGACGGUAAUUGAGUAAUGGUGUUGUAAGUAAAUCUGUCCUAUAUACAUGUUCUUUCUCUGAUCUGUCAGCCCUUUUCUAAUGAAAUCAUUAGUUUGUAAGUUAAUUGAUAGUGGCAAAAAUUUAAGGCCGUUGACUUAUCCGGCAUUCGUAAAUCAUAAGAAAUAUAUAUGUAUUUAUAUAUAAAUAAAAUUACAUAUAUAUUGACUAAUAUCUCGUAACUAUUCACUAUGUUUAAAUUUAAUAAUAAUUCUACUAGUAUGUAGGUUUUAAAGUUUUCGACGAUGACUUGAUCAGAAUUUUCGGACGUGAUUAUUGAAAGAAAAGCGAUUACAACAAACACGCUUUUUAUUCGUAAUUUUUAAUUAUAAUAAGACUGAUGUCGCAAAAACGAAUGGUGUAUUGAAUGUUGUUGGAAAAAUAGGCCUGCUAGGUGGAAAAGACGAUUAUAGUUUAUUGAAAUAUAAAAAAAUACGAAGUCGUAAUUUGUAAUAUACAUAUAUAAUAAUAUAAUGUACAUACAUCUAUUACCGUGUUCAACUAAGGCUAUAUACAACGAAAAAAUUGAGGGUUUAAAUCCAAUAUCUGUAGGUAAAUUAAUCAGGCUAUGACGGUGCAUACAUUUAAUUAAUUGUAUCGGAAAUUCCUUUUAGCGAUCUUCAUAUGAAUUGUAGACAGAUCGAUCGUGCGGUCAUCCUGCCAUGCGCAGUGUACGCUGAUAGGCCCCAUCUCACGCUUCUCUCGGAACUUUGUUCGGCCCGGCUGAAAUCGAUUUGUCUGGCUCACCCCACAACAACCCCACCCUUCUAUUAAACUUAAUUGAACACGGUCCUAUAAUCGGACCUAUUUGCUAUCCAGUUAAGGACUUUCGAAAUUUAUAUAUAUUGAAAAUUAUUUUAAUGAAAUGACGGUAAUUUUGAAAAUGUUUUGAUUCUUGUGAUGUGGAUGUGAUUCUUAAAUUGGUAUCAUGAAAGAAUAUCCCGUAGUUAUUAAAUGUAUCCCAGAAAACUUCAGACCCUAAGUAUGUGCUGCCUACUUUUAAAACCCCUAUUUUCAGUCGAAGGUUAUCUUUCAGUGUUCUCUUUUAGCGUUAAGACUGCAUAUUGUACUUUUGUCGUCUAAUAGUUUGUAUUUUUUUUUGUGUGCAAUAAAGAUCUACUCUAUAGAUAUUUAUAAGUUAAAUGCGGAGUUUUCCAUAGAUGAGGAUAAACCAGUAAUAUGUAUAAGUGCUAUAACUAGAACAGACGGUAGACAAAAAACAAAUUCUCCUUCAAAUGGAGGGCGGCGGCGUAAUGUUAAUGCUCGCACUAAUGCCCAUAUGUUCAAAGACGGCAGUGACCACUUUUCAUCUAGUCAACCGCGAGCGGGUUCGUCUAUUUCGGCCAUGACAUAUGUAUAAUAAUCAAGAUUGAACCGCCAAGAGCAGCCAUUUUUAUUGCAGGAUUGUCUUCAUUUUAUGGAGCGCCGCUUAUACCAAUCGAAUUAAUCGUUAAGACAGAUAAAGUCAUAAAACUUGGUCUCUAUAUUCGAUGUGUUUUUAUUACUAUUAGUAUUUAAGAAUUCAGGGGCAUUUAAUGUUUUAUUAUUAUGUUUUAGUAUUUAGAUAGUUCGGGGUUCAAAGAACCAUGAUAAAGAAUCAAUUAAAAACUAAAUACCUAUUUAUUUUCUGUCUACCGGGGAGUGGCAAUUAAGUAUUAUGUUCAAACAUUAAAGUUUCGAUAUAAUGGUUUUUUAACCUUCCGGAGUAAUAAGUACUCCUCAAUUACUCACUAAUUUUUUUGGCACUCCCUAAGUUUUACCAAAAAAGACGAUGUUUUUCAAAUUGUAUCAUUUAAUGUAUCCAAAUAUGGUGGUGGUGAUGUAACUGGAUUGCUGUAUUAGAAACUUAAUAAAUAUUUCUGUCUAAUAAACAAGAA